RNAcentral lists this long non-coding RNA (1463 nucleotides) under Anser cygnoides (Swan goose). RNAcentral's name for it is "lncRNA (ENSACDG00005008062.1)". The record is from RNAcentral. Lineage: Eukaryota; Metazoa; Chordata; Aves; Anseriformes; Anatidae.
CAGAACAUAUCUCAGUAGGAUAGGAGGGAGUACUGCCUUCAACUCCCCUGUAUAUUUUAUAGCUCUUUUGUCCAGAAUGACUUUAUUUUAAGAGGUUGGAGGAUGAGAGUGGAUAUCAGUAGGUCUCCAGCUGUUUUAUCCAAGGUCUCAGGCCCAUUCUGAUGAUCACUUGUUAUAAAAGAGGAUGUUGGUGGGCAUCAUUAGAAUGGCCCCCCACAUAUCAAUAGCCAAUUAGGAAACAUAACUCAGUUUGAUCCACUGCAUACAGGGAAAGAGUAAAUGGCUUUAUAUGAAGAAAUCAGUUAAAGAGAAUUAUUUCUCCCUCUUAAGAAAUUAUAAAUGGUUCUAUCAAGUACCAUUAUCUGUUGUAACGGAAAUAAAAUCUGACAUUUGUCUCUAGAGCCUUUUACAUCAAAGAAUGAUUUUUACAAUUAUAUUCUCCAAACAUUUAGUUCACUAAUGGCAGAACAGGAGGCGUAAGGGCAGCAGUCAGCAAAAAAUGAGACUCAUUCUCAUGCAUGCGAAAAUUAAAGGGAUACUAGAAAAAUCAGGAACUAGGAAAAAAUGUACACUAAUCUUCAAGACUGGAUGUAGACAUUUUUAACAUAAAUGCUCACUUUCCUGUAGUUAAUAAGACUAGCUGACUGCACUUGUAAGAAAAGUAAACUUCUGGAAAUUAUUGAAUUUACAAGUCAUAGGAACUUUAAAAUGUUUUAGUGUAGGUAUGGCACAAUACUUUGGCAAAAUUUAGUGUUUUGUUUUGUUUUGUUUUGUUUUGUUUUGUUUUUCACACCUUCAUUUGGACUAUGUGAAACUGGCCAUGGUUCAAAAAAGGAUCCUGGACCAAGUGAAUGAUCACUUGCUUUCACCCUGGUGGAUUAAUCUGAAUAUGUUCAAACAAUCUGCCUGCCUCCUGAUUCAUGAAUACACUCUUAAAACAUAUUAAAAUCUUUUCCAUGUCUUUAGACCUUUGUUUUUCUCCUCAGGCUUUUCUAUAAAUACUUAUUUUUUUUUUCUAUAUUUUCUUACAAUACGGACAUUACAAUUUCAGUAUAUUUUUUCUAUACUAGAACUAAGCACUUGUAGACACUCCCAUUGGAUCUACAAGCUUCUGCGAGUGUCAUCUUUGCAGUUACUUGGGACAAACCCAAAGCUUCUGUACCUUAAAUGAAUUUGCAGAUACUGGGGGUUUUGCUAGUGCACCUCCAGGAAUAAGCACAAGAGGUCAGCAGACCUUGUAAUGAAUGCUCAUCAUUGGAUAACAUUUCAUUUUCCCUUCUCUCUAAUUAACACUAAAAUAGUACUCAGAACAGGUCGGUUUUACAUAAAAAAGAAUUCCUGAUAGAGAUUGGCAUUUAUAAUUAAUAGCUAGCUAGCUGAAGUGCUAGCUCUUUACUUUUAAGUGCUCCAUUAUUAGAAGUUCUCCUGAAAUUCAUUGUAAUAACACGAUCACAAAGAGACCA